Long non-coding RNA from Mauremys mutica (yellowpond turtle), 747 nucleotides. RefSeq lists it as uncharacterized. The record is from RefSeq and is a predicted model, not a curated record. NCBI's taxonomy places the organism in Eukaryota, Metazoa, Chordata, Testudines, Geoemydidae. The transcript has 3 exons.
CAUUCCUUGCUGCACCCCAACUUUUCUGUGUGACCAGGCAAGUCUGGUUUCCCUGUACCUCAGUUCCUCAUCUGCACAAUGGGGACAACAGCCCUGCCCUGCCUUGCAGGGGCGUUGUGAGGGUGAGAGGAAGUGAUAUCAGUGAACCAGAGAUGCCAAAGGAAAUGACAAGAACGUUCCUUCCUCGCGUGUCUCCAUGGAUAACUCAAGAAAGUGGCCUCGCCCUUCGAAACAGCUUUCUUUCCCUCUGCUGGAUCGCUAGUGCUGAGCAGCAGCAUUUCCAGUGAGGUUUCAUGCUUCCACCUGAAUGGACAAUGGAGACAACGAAAGCCCAAUCAAGCCAAGUGACUUGUCCAACUUGAUGUUACCCAGAGAACCACUGCCUCAGAUGGGAAUUGAAGCCAGGAUGCUCAGUUGCUACACUUAGUUCUAACCGUUAAACUACCCUGCUUUGUCAUUUCGUAGGGUCACCUCUUGUUUGUGGACUGCCAAUGGGUGGGGGCAGUUUUCAUACAAAUAAUUGCUAGGGAUUUCCCUAAACUUCUGUCAGUCCUAACUGCUGCUUCUCGUUGGCUUUUGGAAUUCUGAAGUGAUGCACGUAGCUAAGGACAGAAGAGAUUUUCUACCUUUCAUGAGAGUCUCAUCCAUCCUACUCCCCUCCCAACCCAGGUCUAGUUCUUCAUUGAAGCCUUGUUGUUCCUCCUUGAUCUCCCUACACCUCCUCUGGUUCAUGGUGAUGUUCCACUC